This 10999-nucleotide small RNA is filed under the name Rattus norvegicus (Norway rat). RNAcentral describes it as "uncharacterized LOC102554698". Lineage: Eukaryota; Metazoa; Chordata; Mammalia; Rodentia; Muridae. The record is from RNAcentral.
UAUAUCAUCAACUAUGAUGUUUUAUAAUGUUAAGGUAUAUCCUGUGAUGGUUGAAGUAUGUCAUGUACUACUUGCCUUUGAUUUUAUAGGGGAUUAUACUCAAGAUAUUCCAUGAUUCUCAGAAGAGACUUGGGACUUUCAAACAUUGUUGUGGUGUGUUAGACUAUCGGGACUUUUGGAGUUGGAGUUAAUAUAUUUUGUAUAGUGUAAUGCUAGAGCUUGUCAUAAUCCCAUUGCCUCAUGUGUUUAAACAAGACUAUGAAUGCCAUAGACUGGAAUGUGAUUGGUGAGAUAUGUUUAGCCUAUGAGAAGUAGUUUGCAAUAAUCAGGCAUGUGGCCUUGUUGGGGAAGGUAUAGCUUUCCUACAGGAAGUGUGUCAGAUUGUGUCACAAUGGAGGCAGUGCUUUGAAAUGUCAGGAAAUUGUCAAUUCUGGGCAGAGUGAUCCAGACCAUACUCCCGGCUGGCUGUAAAAGAGAGUCUCCUAACUGGAUAAAGCUGUAGAACCCUUGGCUCCUCCAGCACCAUGGCUUCCUAUAUGCUGUCAGGCUUCCUGACAUGAUCGUAAUAUUAGGAAUUUACUAGCAGGGCUGAUGGUAUUGCUAUGAACCUGAAUCUCCAAAGUGUCCCCAGAUAAUAUUAUGAUGACAAUCAUCCAUGAGCCAUCAAUGUCCAUAUUGAAACCUACAAUCAUUGUUGCUUCUGAAGAGAUUUCUAACGUCAAGGAUCCCUGAAGCCAGCAGAAUGUACGCUGAAGUUCACAGUCAAUACUGCAACCUCAGGUCAUGUUGAGAGUUCCACAUAUAGUGAGUUGAGGUCACAUAUAUACUGGCAACAGACAACAGUGCAUGUAUGUGAUACUUCAGGCCUCAGCAGCCAUGAUAUCAUUGAUCUCCACUGCCUCACGAGAGCACAUUAAUAUGAGUGUCUCCAACUGCCAGUAAAAUCAUUACAGAUAUCAGUUAUCCAUGAUCCUGUCCAACUUGUGAGAAGGGUUCUGCCAGCUGUAACCAUUUUUAUGUCAUGUUGUAUCCUGUCACUAAACAAGAGGUUUCUGUUCAUGGCCAUACCUGCUAUCUGAAACUAUCUUAAUGUCCCUGAUAUUCAUGGCAACUGACACCAUGGUGUAUCUCUGAUCCUUCCUGCAACUUUGGAUCAGUUGAUAACAUGAGAAAUACCGGCAUCCAAAGAAAAUACAUUGAUAUUACUCAUAUACAAUGCCACUGGUAACAAUACUGAGAUCCAUAGUCAGUGUUGUGCUGGAAAAGAUCCCUGAUGUCUUAGAUCCCAAUGCCAGAAGAGUCUAUUAUAAAGAUCAUUGUCAGUAGUGCUGCCUACUGUCAUAAUGAGGUAAGUACUGUGUUUUGUUAAUGAAGACACCAUUGAUGCCAGUGAUCCUACCUGCAACCUGAAGUUAUGUUAAGGUCACUGCUGUUUGAAGUGAUCAGCAAUCAAGAUGGAGUCCAUUGUUAAUAUCACUGAAGGUGAUCUUGGCGAUGGCUAUGAUCUACAUUGUUUCUGGAGAACCUGAUGAAUGCCAAGGUCCAUACUGAUGCAGAACGUCAUUUUGAGGUAAUUGUUUUGAGCUGGCACUGGAGAUCUGAUUGAUAGCUGAGAUUCGACCCAUCACAGUAAAUUCAGUUGAAGUUUCUGAUGCAUGCAUGUAUCCUCCGAUGUUGAUCAUGCAAAGUAUUUUGAUGCCAGCAAUCCUACCUGUAUCAUGAAGCUCUGUUGAUGUCAGUGAUGUAUUCUGUGUCCAGAAAUAAUGAAGGAGUACAUUUUUCAUAUUGGUGAUGGAGUCUCUGAUGAUGGCUAAGAUAUGUGUUGCUGUUCGAGCACCUGAUAAAUUCCAAGGUCCUUAUUGAUUCCUGAAUUCAUAUUGAGGAAAUUCUGUUGAUGUUCCUGAUGCAUGCAUAUAGGUCCAGAUGCUAUAUGUGCAAUAUAUGAUGAUGCCUAUGAUAAUAUCUGAAACAUAAACCUAUGUAGAUGUAAAUGCUGCAUGAUAUGAGCUGCAAUCAUGAUGGAGUCCCUUAUUCCUAUCGUUGAUGGCAUAUCAUAGUUAAGGCUAUGAUCUGUGUUGCUGUUUGAGAAUCUGGUGAAUUUGACAGUCAAUACUGAAGCCCAAGGUCAUAUUGAGGAGAAAUGUUUUACCAGUCUAACCGUUUUGAUGUCAUGAUGCAGCCUACCACUACAGAAGAGGUUUCUGUACAAGGUCCUACUGAUCAUCUGAAUAUGCAGAGUACUGGAUAUGCAUAAUACUUCCUGGCAAAAGUCAAGAUGGCAUAUUCCAGAUCAAUGCUGCCAUAAGCAGCAAGGUUAUGACUAAUACUUGCUGUCACUUUGGACCUGAUCGAUGACAUCAAUGAUCCCAACUGUCAAAGGAAGUAUAUUGAUGUCACUCAUCCAUGAUGCUACUGGUGAUCAUGUUGAAAUCCAAAGUCAGUGUUUUCAUGGAAGUAUUCCCCGAUGUGUGAGAUCUCUGAGACAGCAGAGUCUUUCGUGAAGUUCAUGAUCAGUAGUGAUGCCCAAGGUCAUAAUGAGGUAAGUGUUGUGUGCUGCUACAGGAGAUGCAUUGGAUGCCUGUGACUACCUGAAACAUGAAGUUAUUCUGAUGCCAGUGCUCCAGCUGUGACCAGCAAUCAUUAUGGAGUCCAUUAUUCCUAUUACUGAUUGAGACCCUGGUGAUUGCUAUGAUCUCAUUUGCUUCUGGAAAACUACCUGAAUGCCAAUGUCCAUACAGACAACUGAUGUCAUAUUGAGUGUUCUGAGAUGACACUGGAGAACAGAUUGAUGGCUGAGAUCCUAAGUGUCACAGGGAAUUCUGUUGAUGUUCCUGACAAAAACAUGUAGUCUGUGAUGUCUAUCAUGGAAUGUAUCUUGAUGCCUGUGAUCCUACCUUUAACAAGAAGCUAUGUUGAUAUCAGUGAUACAUUCUGUGACCAGCAAUCAUGAAGGAGUCCAUUAUUCCUAUUGGUGAUGGAGAUCCUGGAAUGGCUAUGAUCUACAUUUCUGCUUGAGAACCUGAUAAAUUCCAAGGUUCUUAUUGAUGCCUUCUAGCAUACUGAGGUAAGUGUUCUUAGUUGGCCCUGGAUAUCAUAUUGAUGUCUGAGAUCCUACCUCCCACAGGAAAUUCAGAAGAUGUCAUGGGUGCAUGCAUGUAGCUCCUGCUGUUAAUCAUCAUUACCACCCCAAGAAGUGGAAGUGAUGCCUAAUAUCUAUCCUGCCACUGGAGAAGAGGUUUAUAAUCAUAAUUUCAUCUGCUGUUCGAAUUGUUGCUGAUGUCACUGAAAUAUACCUGGCAAGAGACACCACAGUAUUGCCCAUCAUCCAUACUGCUUUUGACAAAGUUGUCAGUGAUCUCUGAUUCCACUGGGAACCAUGCUAAUAUCACUAAUCCAAAGUGCCUACAGCAACUUGGAUGGUGUGAAUCAUCCAUCCUGUACCAGGAGCUAUGUUGAAACCCAUAGAAUAUAUUGCUUCUGAAGACAUGAUUAUUGUUAAUGGUACCUGAAUCCAUCAAAGUAAGGUGAAGUUCAAGUUCAAUAGUGCUGCCAAUGGUAAUGUUUAGUUAUAUUUUCUGACAUAUGUUAUGUUGAGAGCAUAUAAAUUGUGGUGAUGUACACUGGUGUAUGUCCAUAAUACCUCAGGCCUCCAACAGCCAUGCAAGUAAUACCUGCUGCCAUUAGGGAUAGGAGUUUAUCCAACUGCCAAUGGAAUUAUUACUGAUAUCUGUUUUCCAUUCUUCUGCUCAAUUUAUGAGAAUAUUCUUGCCCUCUAUAACAAUUUUGAUGUCAUGAUGCAUCCUGCCACUAGAGAAGAGGUUUAUGUUCAUGACCAUACUUCUCCUCUGAAACUAUUUUGAUGCUCCCUAAUACUUUGUGGCAACUGACUCUACUUUAUAUCCCACAACCCUGAUGCCAUAGGCAACCAGGUCAGGGGUGAAGCUUACUCCCACUUUGGACCAUUCAAUGAAACCAGAGACCACAACUGCCAAGGGAAGUAUAUUGAUAUCACUCAUCCAUGAUACCACUGGUAACCAUGUUGAGAUCCAUAGUCAAUGUUUGUAGGUGGAAUGGCUUAGCAACAAAUGUUGCCUUUGACGAGCUCCUUGGCUGCUGAGAUCCCUUGGCCACUAGAGUCUAUUGUAAAGAUCAUUGUCAUUAUGGCUGCCUAAGUUUAUAAACAGGAAAGAGCCGUAUACUAUUACUGUCAUCACCUUUGAUGUCAGUGAUCAUAUCUUCAUUUUGAAGUUCUGCUGAUAUCAUUGUAUGCUCUAAUCAGCCAGCGUGAUAGAGGCCAUUGUUCCUAUUACAUAUGGAAAACCUAAUGAUGACUAGAAUCUGUGUUGCUUCUGGAGAAACUUCUGAAUUCCAAGGACCUUGGGACCAAUAUCAUCCAAGGUCAUAUUGAGGGUAAGUGUUGUUAGCUGACAAAACUAAUCUCUGAGAUCCUACCCACCACAGGGAAUUCUACUGAUGUUCCUGAUGCAUGCAUGUAGCUCCUGAUGUGAAAAAACAUUGUAUUUUGAUGCUUAUGAUCCUACCUGUAACAAGAAGUUGUGCUGAUACCAGUGCUGCAUGUGGUGACUAGAAAUCAUGAUGGUGUCCAUUAUUCCUAAUGCUGAUGGUGAUGGCUCUUAUUUGUGUUGCUGCUUGAGAAUCCAAUGAAUCCCAAGGUCCAUACUGAUGCCCAUGAUCAUUUUGAUGUAAAUAUUUUUAGCUGGUACUGGAGAUCCGAUUGUUAUCUAGAAGCCUACCCGAAACAGGAAAAUUGGUUGAUGUUCCUUAUACAUGUGUGUAGCCCCCCAUUUUAAACAUGUAAUAAAUAUUGAUGCCUGUGAUCCUGCCUGAAACAUGAAGCUGUUUUGAUGUCAGCACUGUUUGAUGACCAGCAAUCAUGAUGGAAUCUAUUAUUUCCAUUGCUAAUGGACACACUGGUGAUGGCUAUGAUCUAUGCUUUUGCUUGAGAACCCGAUGAAUCCAAAGGUCUGUAAUGAUGUGGUAGGUGAUAUUGAGGUAAGUGUUCUGAGCUAGCAAUGGAGAUCAUAUUGAUAUAUGAGAUCCUAUCUGCCACAGGAAAUUCUGUUGAGAUCACUGAUACAUGAAUGCAGCCCCUGAUUUUUGACCUUGUUACGUGCAAGAUCCUUACUGCUACCUGAAGUGAUAGUGAUAACAGUGAUCUAUCCUGCCACUAGGGAAGAGAUGUAUGAUUUGCCCUAUGAAUUGAUGAUGAUGUCACUGAUAUAUACCUGGCAACAUACACCAUGGUAUUGUCCAAGGUCCAUGCUGCCAUUGACAACCUGGUUGUCAGUAAUCCCUGCUGCACCUGCUUACCAUGUUAAUAUCACCAUUACCAAAUGCUUGUAGAAACUAUGAUGGUUUCAGUAGCCAUGUUUAAAAUCAUAGUCCAUGAUGCCUCUUAGGAUAUUUUUAAUGCAAAUGAUCCCUGGGGCUAGCAGAAUCUAAGGUAAUGUUUUAGGUCAAUACUGAUGUCUGAGAUCAUGUUGAGUCAUAUGUUCUGAGAUAUAUUAUGGUGAAGUCACAUAUAGUGUGGCAACAGACACGGUUGUCUGUUAUAUAUAUUUCAGUCUUCCAGCAGUCAUGUCCGUGAUCCCUGCUGCCUCUUGGGAACACAUUAAUAUCACUGUUUCUAACUGGCAAUGGCAUCGUCACUGAUGCCAAUUUUCUAAGAUUCUGCCCAAUUCAUGAGAAGGGUUCUUCUAGCUGUAACCAUUUUUAUGUCAUGUUGCAUUCUGUCACUAGACAAGAGGUUUCUGUACAUGGUCAUACCUGCCCUAUGAAACUGUCUUGAUAUCCCUGGCAACAGAUAUACCAUAGUAUAUUUCAGAUUCCUAUGCCCACAGUCAACCAGGCAGUGAAUAAUUGCUACUACCACUUUGGAACAAAUUGAUGACAUUCGUGAUCCCAACUGCCAAGGGAAAAAUAUUGAUGUCGUUCAUCUAUGCUGUCAUUUGUAUCCACAUUGUGAACCAUAAGUAGCAUGUUUGAAGAGGCCUUGAUGUCUGUGAUAACUCAACCAGAAUAAUCUGUUGUGAAUUUCAGUGUUAGUUCUGGUGCUAAAGGUCAUAAUGAGGCAAGUCCUGUGUGUUCCUACUGGAGACAUGUGAUGCUAGUGAUGCUAGUGAUGUUGAUGCUAGUGAUCAUGUGUGAAACCUGAAGCUGUGUUGAUGUCAGUGCUGCAUGCUAUAACCAGAAAUCAUGAUGGAGUCUAUUAUUGUGAUGGCUAUGAUCUGUGCUGCUUCUGGAGAACAUGCUAAAUUCUGAGGUCCAUACUGACACAUGAGGUCAUAGUGAGGUAAGUGUUCUUAUCUGGCACGUGAGAUCAGAUUGAUUUAUGAGAUCCAACUUGCCAUAGGAAAUUCUGUUCGUGUCCCUGAUGCAUACAUGUAGAACCUACUAUCAACCAUGAAACACACAAUAUCCUUACUACCACCAUAAGUGCUAGUUUUGUCAAUAAUAUAUCCUGUCACUGGAGAAGGGUUUGUGACCAUAAUUUCUUCUCUCCUGUGAAUCAGUGCUGAUGGCACUGAUAUAUACCUGGCAGCAGACACCAUGGUAUUGUCCAAGAUAAUUGAUGCCAAUGGCAAACUUAUUGUCAGUGAUCCUAGCUUCAUGGGGUACCAUGUUUAUGUCACUAAUGCAAAGAGGCUGCAGAGACUUUGAUUAUGUGAGUCAUACAUGCUGCCUCUAGUAGCCAUGUUGAAAUCCAUAGUCAGUGUUGGUGCUGAAGACAUUGUGGAUGUUAAGAAUCCCUGAGAUCAUCAGAAUCUACAAUGAAAUUCAGUCAAUAAUGCUGUCUUGGAUCAUGUUGAGUUACAUGUUCUGAGACAAGAUAUAUGUUGAGUAUGUAUUUAUAAAAGUCAGACACCACUGUGUGUCUAUAAUUCUUCUGGUCUCUAGUAGCCAAUAUGUCAUUGAGCCCUUAUGACAUUUGUGACCACAUUAAUAUGACUUUAUUAAUUGCCAACGGAAUCACUACUGAUGCUUAUUAUCUAUGCUUCUGCAGAAAAUCUAAGAAGUAUCUUGCAUUCAUAAGUAAUUUGAUGCAAUGAUUCACUCUACAACUAGAAAUAAGGUUUCUCUAUAUGGUCAUACCUGCACUUUGAAAGUAUUUUCAUGUCCUUUGUACUUCCUGGCAAUGGACACCAUGUUAUCUCACAGAUCCCUGCUGCCAUAGACAACCAGAUCAUGAGUGAUCCCUAUUCCCACUUUGGACCAAAUUGAUAACAUCUGUGAUCCCAACUACCAAGGGAAAUACUGACAUUACUGAUAAUAAUCCAUGUUGUCACUGAUAAUCAUGUUGACAUCCAUAAUCUGUGUGGUCAUUGCAAAUAGCAAUGUUAAGAAUCCCUGAGACCAUCAGAAUCUAUAAUGAAGUUCAGUCAAUAGUGCUGCCUUUGAUAAUGUUGAGUUACAUGUUCUGAGAUAUGUUAUGUUGAGGUCAUACAUAUAGUCACACCAGACACCACUGUAUGUCCAUGAUAUUUCAGGCCUCUAGUUAAAUCAACCAGAAGGAUCUAUUGUGAAUUCCACGGUAAUUCAAUCCCUGUCUAAAGUCAAAGUGAGGUAAGUGUUGUGUGCUGCUACUGGAGACAUGUUUGAUGUCUGUGAUCCUAACGGCAACCUGAAGCUAUGUUGAUGGCAAUGCUGAAUCAUGAUGGACUCCAGGAUUCCUAUUGCUGAUAGAGACCAUGGUUAUGGCUAGGAUCUCUGCUGCUAUUUAAGGACAUGUUAAUUCUAAGGUCUAUACUGACAGUUGAGGUGAUAUUGAGGUAUGUGUUCUGAGUUGGCACUAGAGAUCACAUUAAUAUCUGAGAUCCUGCCUGCUACAGGAAAUUCUGUUGAUGUCCCUGAUGCAUGCAUGAAUCCCCUGAUGUAAACCAUGAGUUCACUGAUAUAUACAUCAUUGGAAGAGACAGCACUGUAUGUCUAUAUUCUUUAAUGCCACAAGCAGCCAUAUUGUCAGUGAUUCUUUCCCCACUUGGGACCACAUUAAUAUGAAUGAUUCCAAUUGUCAUUGGAAUCUAUACUGAUGUGAGUGAUGCAUGCUUCUGUCACCUGUGAGAAUGUUCUUUAUGAGAAGUAUACUCGUAGCUAUAAUAAUUUUGAAGUCAAUGAUUCAUUCUGACACUAUAGAUAUUAUUACUUCUCAUGGUCCUCCCUGCCCUAUGAAACUACCAUGAUGUUCCUGAUACUUCCUGGCAAUUGACAUCAUAGUAUAUCCAAGAUUCCCUAAUGCUACAGGCAACCAGGAUUUUAAUGAUCCCUAUUGAUACUUUGGACUAAAUGUGAUAUCAAUUGUCCUAUUUGCUAAGAGAAAUAUAUUGAUUUUACUCACCUGUUUUACUGUUUAUAACCACAUUGAGAUCCAUAGUCAGUGCUGUUUCUAAAGACCUUCUUGAUGUCUAUGAUCAAUGUGGCCAGCGUGUCAAUUGUGAAGUUCAUGGUCACAACUGCUUCCAAAGAUCAUAAUGAGGAAGACCUUAUUGAUGACAAGGAUCUGUGCUGCUGCAUGAGAACAGGCUGAAUUCCAAGUUCUAUACUGAUGUGCAGGGUCAUAUUGAGACCUCAUUAUGAGUAAUAUCCUUUCUGCCACAAGAAGAAAUUUGAUAUAAUUGAUUCAUCCUGCUACUGGAGAAGAGACUUAUGUUCAUAAUUUCUUCUACCCUCUGAAUCAACACUGAUGUCAGUGAUACAAUUGUCAACAGAUAUCAUACUAUAUCUAUAGUCCCUGCUGCAAUAGCAAGCAUCAUAUUAAAUAUUUGUGCUGCCAUUUUGGACCAGGAUGAUAUCAGUUACCACAACUGCCAACAGAAAUAUAGUGAUGUCACUCAUCCAUGCUUCUACCUGUAAAUAUAUUACUAUCCAUAGAUGUUGCUGCCUCUGAAGAGCUUUGUGAUGUCUGUUAUCCAUGGUGCUAGAAGAGUCUGUCUUGAAGUUCAUGGUCGAUAAUACUGCCUAAGUCAUGUUGAUGUAUGUGUACUAUGCUGCCACCAGAGACGUGUUUUAUGACUGUGACCUGACUUGCCUCCUGAAGCAGUGUUGAUGUCAUGGCUGCAUACUGACAUCACUAAUUGUGAUGGUGUUUAUUGUUCCAGUGGCAGGUAGGACCUGCCCUAUGAAACUAACAUGUACCAAGGGAUAAAUGCAUGCAUUAAGGACAUGUACCAGUACAACAAAACACAGGAGUGUAUGAAAUGCCUUUUAUGCAUGCAUGAAGCCCCUGCUGACUAAUCAUAACUCUUUUGACUAUAUUAUGCAUAAGAUCCUCACUGAAAUCAGAAGAAUUGUUCAAGAUGUCAUUGAUCCAUCCUGACAAUGGAGAAGAUGUUUAUGUUAAUAUUCUCUCUUGCCCUCUGAAUCUAUACCAAUGUCCAUGAUAUGCUCAGAAACAGAUACAAUGGUAUUGCCCAAGAUAAAUGCUGCCACAGGUAACCUUGAUUUUAGUGAUCCCUGUUGCAAAUGAGUACAAUGUUAAUAUCACUAAUUCAAAGUGCCACCAGAAACUAUGCUGAUGUCCAUCAUCAAUGAUAACACCGGCAUCAAGGUUGAAUGCCAUAGUCCAUGUUGGUUCUGAAGAGACUGAUAAUGUAAAGGAAACCUGUUGCUACCAAAGUCUAUGGUGAAGUUCAUAGUCAAUAUUGCUAACUAAGGUUUUGUUGAGUUAACCUUUCUGUGAUAUGUUGAGGUCAGUGAUACAUUAAGGCAACAAACACCAUUGUAUGCCCAUGAAUUUUGAUGCAAUGAGCAGCUAUAAUGUCAGUGAUCACUGGUGACACAUGUGACCACAUUAAUCUGAGUGAUUCCAGCUGCCACCAGAACCUAUACUGAUGUCUGUGAUCCAUUUUUCUGCCAUCUGAGACUAUGUUAUAUAAUAAAUAUAUGCUGCCAGCUGUACCACAUUUUAUGUCAAGGAUCCAUCCUGCCAAUAGAAAUGAAGUUUCUGUUCAUAGUCUGAUCUGUCCUCUGAAACUGCAUCAAUGUUACUGAUACCUUCUAGAAGCAAACACUAUGGUGUAUCCUAGAUCACUGAGGCCUCUGGCCCACCAGCAACCAUGAUGAUGUCCAUUAUUCCUAUUGAGGUCCUACCUGCCACAGGAAACUAUGGUGAUGUCCCUGACGUAUGAUUGUAGUUGCUUUGUAGAGCAUGCCAUGUAUAAGAUCCUAACUGUCACCAGAAUAGUUAUUGAUAUAAAUUCUGCAACCUUAUAGAUACUUUCCAGCUGUAACUAUUUUGAUGUUGAGGAUCUAUGCUGGAACUAGAGAAGAGGUUUCAGUAUAUGAUCUGAACUUCCAGUGAAACUAUGAUGUCAAUGACAACUCCACAGUAACAAAAAUUACAGUAUAUCCCGGAUCCAUUCUGUCACAAGUUACAAGAUGUUAGUGAUCCCAGGUCCCGCUAUGGAUUGGGAUGAUUAUAUUAGCGAUCCCACUUUUCCAGUGGAAGCAAUGUUCAUGUCAGUGCUACCUGUUGUCAUCAGCAAACAAUAUGAUGUCCUUCAUUGCUAUUGAGAUUCUACCUGCUACAAGAAACUAUGGUGAGGUCCCUGAUGCGUGCAUUUAUCCCUUGCUACAGACUAUCAUGUAUACUACCACCAGAAGUGAUGUUUGUGUUAGUGAUCCAUCCUGUGACAUUAGAAGAGAUUUAUGCCAAUAGACUCUUUCCCUCUGAGUAUAUACUGACGUCACUGACAUACCUAGCAACAUAUAUGGUAGGAUAGCACAAGAUCCAUGCUGCUACAGGCAACCUCAUCAAUGUUCCCUGUUGCCACUGGAAAUUAUACAAUCAUCACCAAUCUAACCUGCCCUCAGAAAUUAUGUUGAUGUCCAUCAUCCAUGAUGCCAACAGUACCCAUGUUACACAUAGUCCAUGUUGCUUCUGAAGAGAAUGUUAAUAUUAAGGAGUUCUCCAGCCACCAGUGUCUAUUCUGAAGUUUAUAGUCAAUAUUGUUGCCUGAGGUCAUGUUGUGAAGUGUUCUGA